UCUUGGUCAUUUAGAGGAAGUAAAAGUCGUAACAAGGUUUCCGUAGGUGAACCUGCGGAAGGAUCAUUAACGAGUUUUGAAAGGGGUUGUAGCUGGCCUUUCACGAGGCAUGUGCACACCCUGCUCAUCCACUCUCAACCUCUGUGCACUUAUUGUAGGUCGGUGAAAGGCUCGCAAGAGCUGGAAGCCUGCUUAUGUUUUACUACAAACGCUUCAGUUAUAGAAUGUUUACUUGCGUAUAACGGCAUUUAUAUACAACUUUCAGCAACGGAUCUCUUGGCUCUCGCAUCGAUGAAGAACGCAGCGAAAUGCGAUAAGUAAUGUGAAUUGCAGAAUUCAGGUGAAUCAUCGAAUCUUUGAACGCACCUUGCGCUCCCUGGUAUUCCGGGGAGCACGGCCCGUUUGAGUGUCAUGGUAUUCUCAACCUUCAUAACUUUGUUGUUAUCGAAGGCUUGGAUGUGGAGGUCGUGCUGGCUCUCACGAGUCAGCUCCUCUGAAAUGCAUUAGCGUGAACGUUUACGGAUCGCUAUCAGUGUGAUAAUUAUCUGCGCUGUUAGUGUUGAAGUAUGUUUAGUGUCGCGCUUCUAACCGUCCUUCAGUUGGACAACUUAUCUGACAUCUGGCCUC
This 627-nucleotide ribosomal RNA is filed under the name Basidiomycota sp. I7. RNAcentral describes it as "eukaryotic LSU rRNA". The stretch from base 257 to 412 matches the Rfam family "5.8S ribosomal RNA". Lineage: Eukaryota; Fungi; Basidiomycota. The record is from RNAcentral.